CCUACGGGAGGCAGCAGUGAGGAAUAUUGGACAAUGGGCGCAAGCCUGAUCCAGCCAUGCCGCGUGCAGGAUGACGGUCCUAUGGAUUGUAAACUGCUUUUGCACAGGAAGAAACCCUCCCACGUGUGGGAGAUUGACGGUACUGUGAGAAUAAGGAUCGGCUAACUCCGUGCCAGCAGCCGCGGUAAUACGGAGGAUCCAAGCGUUAUCCGGAAUCAUUGGGUUUAAAGGGUCCGUAGGCGGUUUAGUAAGUCAGUGGUGAAAGCCCAUCGCUCAACGGUGGAACGGCCAUUGAUACUGCUAGACUUGAAUUAUAAGGAAGUAACUAGAAUAUGUAGUGUAGCGGUGAAAUGCUUAGAUAUUACAUGGAAUACCAAUUGCGAAGGCAGGUUACUACUUAUGGAUUGACGCUGAUGGACGAAAGCGUGGGUAGCGAACAGGAUUAGAUACCCUGGUAGUCCACGCCGUAAACGAUGGAUACUAGCUGUUGGGAGUAAUCUCAGUGGCUAAGCGAAAGUGAUAAGUAUCCCACCUGGGGAGUACGUUCGCAAGAAUGAAACUCAAAGGAAUUGACGGCUGAGACGAGACGACGGACGACGACGAGGGAGGAGG
RNAcentral lists this ribosomal RNA (612 nucleotides) under uncultured bacterium. RNAcentral describes it as "bacterial SSU rRNA". It matches the Rfam family "Bacterial small subunit ribosomal RNA", at positions 338 to 951 of the family's 1533-position model. The record is from RNAcentral.